RNAcentral lists this ribosomal RNA (440 nucleotides) under uncultured bacterium. Its description in RNAcentral is "partial 16S ribosomal RNA". It matches the Rfam family "Bacterial small subunit ribosomal RNA", at positions 338 to 795 of the family's 1533-position model. The record is from RNAcentral.
CCUACGGGAGGCAGCAGUGGGGAAUAUUGCACAAUGGGGGAAACCCUGAUGCAGCGACGCCGCGUGAGCGAUGAAGUAUUUCGGUAUGUAAAGCUCUAUCAGCAGGGAAGAAAAUGACGGUACCUGACUAAGAAGCCCCGGCUAACUACGUGCCAGCAGCCGCGGUAAUACGUAGGGGGCAAGCGUUAUCCGGAUUUACUGGGUGUAAAGGGAGCGUAGACGGUCCUGCAAGCCAGAUGUGAAAGCCCGGGGCUCAACCCCGGGACUGCAUUUGGAACUGUAAGGCUAGAGUGUCGGAGAGGCAGGCGGAAUUCCUAGUGUAGCGGUGAAAUGCGUAGAUAUUAGGAGGAACACCAGUGGCGAAGGCGGCUUUCUGGACUGAAACUGACGCUGAGGCACGAAAGCGUGGGGAGCGAACAGGAUUAGAUACCCCUGUAGUC